RNAcentral lists this small RNA (1649 nucleotides) under Rattus norvegicus (Norway rat). RNAcentral's name for it is "uncharacterized LOC102548278". Lineage: Eukaryota; Metazoa; Chordata; Mammalia; Rodentia; Muridae. The record is from RNAcentral.
UCCUUUAAUUAUUUUUGCUAUGUGGCCCAGGAUUCUGUAUUCUAAGAAACUCUAACCAUAACUCUUAACCAUAUGGUUGUCCUGACAAGAUCUGCAUGAUGACAACCCAAGACGCUGUUGCAACAUUAUCAGAGGAAGUCUCACAAGAGCACUACAAGAAAUGUUAGAGGCAGUGAAAAAUUGCCAAAAGAGGUUAAAUGAGUGUACUCUAGGGAUGAACCCUGUAAUGGUGGUCAGUCCGUCCUAAAAACGUUUACAUAAAAAGUGCUGACUGGGCAUAACUGAUGCUUUUAGCUAUUUAUCUUUACUUCAGUACUUACCCAGCCAUACUGAGAGAUCUUUAAACUUGGCUUUCUGUACCAUGUUGCCAAUAUUUCAUUUUCUCUCACUAAUAAACAAAUUCUGUCUUUCUUAGAACGUAAGAGCUGUGCAACUGACACAUCUGGAAUUCUGGAGGAUCAUGGAAUACACAGCUCUUCUUGAUGGGGACACGAACUUCAUUAGAAAUAACUUCGGCUUUCAGGAAGCAAACAUUACACACCCACCUCCUCCACUGGGAAAACUGAGGCUCACUGUGUGCUCACAGCCACGUCCAGGUGCAGUGUUUUCUGCCUGAGGUGAUGACAUUAGUCUUUAAUGUACAGGUAUUCUAGUAAUGCACGUAGGUAAAAGAAAUGGGCCUUGCAUGUCUUCAGUACCUCUGGCUGCCUGGGGCUCAAAGGGCUCUGGGUGAGGCACUUGUGGUGCAUUAUAUUUGAGCAGCAAAGGCUUCUGGGUGAGGCAGUUGGCGUGCAUUAUAUUUGAGCGCAAAGGCUUCUGGGUGAGGCAGUUGGCGUGCAUUGUAUUUGAGCGCAAAGGCUUCUGGGUAAAGCAGUUAACGAGCUUUGCUGUUGCUCCUGCGCAAAGGCCUCUGGAUGAAGCAGUUGGUGUGCGGUGCUGCUGCCUGUACUUGGAGGACUCCUCUGGACUCCUGGGCUGUGCGCUCGGGGAGACGGUUGUUUCAGCCAUUAGGCUCAGGCAGAAGAGUUCAUCUGUUGCUGCAAGUUCCCAAGUCUGUCUUCUGUGGGUCUCAGCUGUCAUCUGUGGGUCUGACCAUCUGCUGGUCUUGGAAGCCUUCAGUCAGAUGUAUCUGGACCAAGUGAUUUGGUUGCAAGAGGCCAGGACUCCUGCCAUCUUGGAAGCCUCUCCAUUACCUGUUCACACGACACACGGAGCAUCCUUUGUGCCCUGAAGAAAACUCUGACCCCUCAACAGAAUAUGAAUGGCAGGGCAGAAAUACAAGUUGAGGCUACAUAAGUCAGUGCUUUGGGAACAGUUGUCAAGGCCCUGGUGAAACUCUCCACACCCAAUGACAAGUUCCUGUGUGUCACACUCUUGGUAACACUUCUGCCUAUGAAAUUAAACUCAGCUCUCUGAGGACUCAGUGGCUGAUCUUCUCUCAAACAUAGACUGCCUAAGAUAAGAAAUCAUUCAGCUUUCAAUAUCUCAAAAUUUUGACAGGAUAUCUCCAUAUUUCACUGCUGUUCUUAUCCAGGAUCAAGCUUGGAACCAGCUCCCGCUCUGACUUCAGCUGUCAAACACUGCAGACUUCACCUUGACUCUACUCAACGCACAGCGUGUGCCUCACCUUUCAUGCAGUCAGACACCCC